GUUGGGGUAUUCUUAAGAAAUUUUGCAUAAAAGGAGUCGCCACUAGCCUAUUGGGGUCGGCUAGAAACCAAGUGAGGCAUGGGAGCGUGCCUCACUUCCUACGCAACCAGAGAAUUUAGGUUCAGGGACUUGAUUACACUAAUUAACCAAUUAGUGCCCUUUCAGUACCUAAUCUUGUUCAUUUUAACAAAAUGAUUUUUGACAGGCAAUUUGGAUUGAUU
RNAcentral lists this long non-coding RNA (221 nucleotides) under Eucalyptus grandis. RNAcentral describes it as "long non-coding RNA (EGRA_LNC002298)". The record is from RNAcentral. Lineage: Eukaryota; Viridiplantae; Streptophyta; Magnoliopsida; Myrtales; Myrtaceae.